AGGCAUUUAUUAACACUGCAAAGGAGAUCUACGAGAAGAUCCAGGAAGGAGUUUUUGACAUUAAUAAUGAGGCAAAUGGCAUAAAAAUUGGCCCUCAGCAUGCUGCUACUAAUGCAACACUUGCAGGCAAUCAGGGAGGACAACAAGCUGGAGGAGGCUGCUGUUGAGCCUGUUUUUACUUUCUAGCUGCCUGGAUGGGGUCUACUAACUUGUUUGUUCACCCUCCCCUGCCCCCUGCCCUGCUCGCCUCCACUUCAGUUCGACUGAGACAUGAAACUUGUACGUUGGUUUCCUGUUGCAGAAGACUUUAUCCUUCAAAUUCUUGUAUAACUUUGAAUAAAUGGUUAAUGUUCACUUAAAGACAGAUUUUGGAGAUUGUAUUCAUAUCUAUUUACAUUUGAUUUCUAGGUCAAUUGAUGUGAUUAUUUUUGUUAAAUGUUGUCUUGUGCCCUUGACUACGAACUGAAUUGUAUUAAACACUACAAAGUCAUCUGAGUAUUUUAAUCAGUUUGUGUAGUUAGGUUUCCCAGCUCCUGCGGUUACCUAAUGUUUAAUAUUGUAGAGCUGUCCUCAAGUUUUUUGUCAAUUUUCAAGGCUAUCAAGAGAAGCAGAAGGACUCUUUUAAUUCUGUAUUUAUCACUUUCUGUAUAUAUAGUUUAAUAACCUGCUUGGGUGUACUUGCCAAGCUAGAAUUCUUUAAUGCAUUUGCAUAAAUUCUAUACUACUUAGAGCUUGAAAACUACAGAAGCAUUAAUAGAAAUUGCUUGGACGCUAAAUUUUAAGCCUUUUUGACAUUGUUAGCAUGUUCAUCCUCCCCAGUCAUUAUCCUGAAGUCCAAGAGAAAUGCUUAAUGUAUAUUACUAGAGGCUACAUACGUGCUAUCUAUUUUAAUGCCAAAUGUUUGCUGUUUGUCCACAAUUUCCACAGCACCUCUUCAGAAAUGGAUUAGCUGUUUGCCUUAACAAAUACUAUAGGUAAAAACAGAGUAUGAAUGAAAAGUAGAGGAGGAGUUGAUAAAUUUAAAAUGGCACAUUAUAAAAACUUUAAUCUUUUUCUUAAUGUUUUUUUUUUCUUGUUUACCACUUGAUUUCUAGGUAUAUUUUUCAUGCAAGGACAGUUUUUUCAACCUAAAUGUACAGUGGUUGUGUAAAGUUUUCUUUUAGUGACAACUUGUAAUCCUAAAUAUAUGGUAAGCAUCUUGUCUAUUGUGAAGAGGGUGUGAAAAUAAAAUCUGCCAGUUUGGAAAUCUUGAUGAAAAUCAAAA
Long non-coding RNA from Antrostomus carolinensis (chuck-will's-widow), 1264 nucleotides. RefSeq lists it as uncharacterized. Lineage: Eukaryota; Metazoa; Chordata; Aves; Caprimulgiformes; Caprimulgidae. The record is from RefSeq and is a predicted model, not a curated record. The transcript has 2 exons.